ACUGACAGCCAUGGUUACCGCGGCUGCUGGCACGGAGUUAGCCGGUGCUUCUUCUGUGAGUGAUGUCCUUCCUGCCGGCUAUUAACCCGCAGGCCUUCUUCCUCACUGAAAGUGCUUUACAACCCGAAGGCCUUCUUCACACACGCGGCAUGGCUGGAUCAGGGUUGCCCCCAUUGUCCAAUAUUCCCCACUGCUGCCUCCCGUAGGAGUCUGGGCCGUGUCUCAGUCCCAGUGUGGCUGAUCAUCCUCUCAGACCAGCUACGGAUCGUCGCCUUGGUGAGCCGUUACCCUCACCAACCAGCUAAUCCGACAUAGGCUCAUCCGAUAGCGCGAGGCCCGAAGGUCCCCCGCUUUCCCCCGUAGGGCGUAUGCGGUAUUAGCCUGGGUUUCCCCAGGUUAUCCCCCACUACCGGGCAGAUUCCUAUGCAUUACUCACCCGUCCGCCGCUCGCCACCAGGGAGCAAGCUCCCCGUGCUGCCGCUCGACUUGCAUGUGUUAGGCCUGCCGCCAGCGUUCAAU
This 519-nucleotide ribosomal RNA is filed under the name uncultured bacterium. RNAcentral describes it as "partial 16S ribosomal RNA". The record is from RNAcentral.